This 6534-nucleotide long non-coding RNA is filed under the name Gossypium barbadense (sea-island cotton). RNAcentral describes it as "long non-coding RNA (GBAR_LNC018280)". Lineage: Eukaryota; Viridiplantae; Streptophyta; Magnoliopsida; Malvales; Malvaceae. The record is from RNAcentral.
CUCAAAGAUCUAGAAAGAUCCAGAGAGCUCUCCGUCAUUGCAAGGUCACCAUCCUCUGCCUCGUCCUCACCCUCGUCGUCCUACGUGGCACUAUCGGAGCCGGUAAAUUCGGGACUCCGGGACAGGACCUCGCCGAGAUCCGCGACCACCUCUAUUACCGGAAACAAGGCGAACCGCAUCGCGUCCUCAAAGAAGUCCAAACGACGUCGUCAGAUAACCACGACGGCGCCGACACCAACGCCGGCACCAAUAACUACAACGAGUUCGACAUCAAUAAGAUCUUAAUCGACGAGGAACCAGACGUCCCGAAACGCGAUCCCAACGCGCCCUAUUCGCUCGGGCCCGGAAUCUCCGAUUGGGACGAGCAACGCUCUAGAUGGCUGCAAGAAAACCCUAAUUACCCAAAUUUCAUCGGUCCAAACAAACCGAGGGUUCUCUUAGUCACUGGUUCAUCUCCCAAACCUUGUGAGAACCCUGUCGGUGAUCAUUACUUAUUGAAAUCGAUCAAGAACAAGAUCGAUUAUUGUAGAUUACACGGGAUCGAGAUAUUUUACAACAUGGCGCUGUUGGAUGCUGAAAUGGCAGGGUUUUGGGCGAAAUUGCCGUUGAUUCGAAAGCUUUUGCUCUCGCAUCCGGAGGUGGAAUUCUUGUGGUGGAUGGAUAGUGACGCCAUGUUUACUGACAUGGCAUUUGAGGUUCCUUGGGAAAGGUAUAAAGACUCCAACUUUGUUAUGCACGGUUGGAAUGAAAUGGUUUACGAUCAGAAGAAUUGGAUUGGGCUAAACACUGGGAGUUUUUUGUUGAGGAAUGGGCAAUGGGCACUUGACAUUCUUGAUGCUUGGGCUCCAAUGGGUCCUAAAGGCAAGAUUAGGGAAGAAGCAGGGAAGGUUUUGACCCGGGAGCUUAAGAAUAGACCCGUUUUCGAAGCCGAUGAUCAGUCUGCAAUGGUGUAUUUGUUGGCUACUCAAAGGGAGAAGUGGGGUGAUAAGGUUUACUUAGAGAAUUCUUAUUAUUUGCACGGUUAUUGGGGGAUCUUGGUUGAUAGAUAUGAGGAAAUGAUUGAGAAUUAUCACCCAGGUUUAGGGGAUCAUCGUUGGCCGUUGGUGACCCACUUUGUGGGGUGCAAACCUUGUGGUAAGUUUGGGGAUUACUCGGUGGAGAGGUGCUUGAAGCAAAUGGAUAGAGCAUUCAAUUUUGGGGAUAAUCAGAUUCUUCAGAUUUAUGGGUUCACUCACAAGUCAUUGGCCAGUAGAAGGGUUAAGAGAGUUCGAAAUGAGACCAGUAAUCCGCUUGAGGUGAAAGAUGAGCUUGGACUGCUUCAUCCGGCUUUUAAAGCCGUUAAGGUAUCCUCUUCUUGAGGAUAUAGGCUUUGUAUGAUAUCUUAUGCUGCUAAAUUAUAGGUUACAGUAUUCAAAUGUUGUGUAUGCAGUGGGAAUUUUGUGCUUACGGUCUGGAUAAAUAGUAUUCUUUUGUUCCUCGUCUUUAAAUUAUGAGUUCUUUAUAUGCUUUCCGAAUGAAAACUUAGCUCAUUGUUCUUUCCACUGCUAUUCAUUUUUUGUUGCUUAUAAGCAAACUUGAUUCUGUCAAUGUUUUAACAUGGUGAUAUAUGUUACUGCAUUUGUAAUUCAAUCAUUAGUCUGCAAUGUUUAUCGAUGUUGGGAGCUGGUAUACUUUCAUACUGCUAGGGUAAGCCAGUGAAACUAGGCCGCUGCAGGUACUCUGUUCUUUGAAACUUUAGCUGGAUGAAUAUAUAGUGGGGUUGAAACUUAAUUGUUGUGGUUAAUUGCUUGUUUACGUGGUUCAAAAGAAAGUGAGAAACAUUUCACUGAAUGAGGUAAGCAUUGAUGAUCAUUAGUCUCGUUCUCUGUUUCUUGUUUCUUUGAUUCGUACUCUUUAGAUCCCCAUGGAGGAAAAGAGUCGAGUCUUGCUAGGAAUAGGAUGAUAACGAGCUGCAGUUUCCUGCUUUUAUCAUUUUAAUGGCUGAUAUUUAUGUUGCUCCGAUUCUUAUUUUUCUUCAAAUAUCCGUGUCCAAUGUUCUUGUCUGACACACAUCCGUAUAUGAGCGCCGGAUAUGAUCUUCUAACUACAUGGAAGAACUUAAAAUAGUUGGACAUAUGUUUGACACACUACUAAAAGCUGUCGAUACUCAUUUACUCCAUAACUUAGUUCACUAGUAUUGAUAGAAUCUGUUCAGCAAUGGAUUCAUCUUUACAAUUACUUUAAGUAUCAAUGUUUGACAUCUAUGUUCUAUGCUUGUUGAAAUAUGAAUAUAGAGAUAUGGUCAUUUAAACUUGUGUUAACCACGUGCCCAUGUCCGAAUUUAUAUUCGACACAUGUUUUCAACUGCAAUAGCUCUAGAUGUCCUAAACAGGGUUAUGAAUUUCCGAGACACUUAACGAUUAAAUUGUAAUUUUUUUACUUAAAUAAUUAAAACAGAAGCUUACCUAUAAAUCCAUAAUUUACCCCUAAACCAGAACAUGUCGGACCAGUCAACCUUCUAUAAUAUGGAUAGCACAAAAUUUCAAUAUAAUAUAAUAAAAAUAGAAACAAUAAAAAUGGGAUUGAACGACAUUUUUUUUCUUAAAAAGGUAGGACUUUAUUAACAUUUUCUGGAUUUUAAAAAAAUGGUCUUAAGUAACACCUUAUAAUUAAAUUUGGUAAGUGCACUGGGCCCGGACCUCUCAUGACAAACUCGUGGUCUUCUCCCUCUUUGUGGAUGGCGUGGGGUUACCAAUUUUUGGAAAUUAAACCAAUAAUGGAGCUAUCCAUUUUUCAUUACGUUAAUGACAAAAAUAAUUAAUUAAAAUUUAUAAAAAUUAUAAACCAGUGCAAUUGAUUCAGUUAUUGAUUUUUUUUUCAAGUUUUUCAGAUUUUUAUCUAUUCACAAACAAUUUAGUUUAUAGUUAACUUCAUGUCAUCGAUUAAAUCGUUAAAACCAUUGAUUUAUGGUUUAACCGAUUUAAUCAGUUGAUCUAGUCUAAUUCUAACAUCUCUCGGAAGAUCGAUUUUUCCGGUGGCCAUGCUUUUGGAGACUUGUUCCUUCUGAUGGGACCUUUCGAGCUCUUUAAGUUCUGUUUUUAUUACUUGAGCUUUUUUUACCAUUGUUUCAGGUGAGGGCGUUCAGAGAUGAAUCAUGAAUUUUGGGGACUCAAAAUAUAAUUUUAACAAUUAUACUAAUUUGUAAAUUCGUAAAUUUGUAAAGGAUUAAAAAAUACAUUUACCAUUUUUGGGGGCAAGGCUACAACCUUCUCCUUUAUCUAUGCCUUGGUUUCAGGGUGUUGCAGUAAGUCCAUCGCCAAAAAGAGUGAGGGUCUCAACCCAAACUCUUGUCCAUCAUGUUUUUGCUUUACCCUAAUGCUUGUUCCUCUAGGUUAUCGACAUAAAUCUCCCUCUCUUUGCUUUCAUGUUGAUCUAUGUGUAGAAGGGGGAGUUGCUCGUUGCCUUCGUGGCUUAGGAUUAGGGUUUUUAGUAUCUUUUAAGGUCAUUUUUAUAGUUUAUAUUCGAGAUUUAUGAUUAUUUUUUUAUAAUGUUGUUUCCAAGCAUUUAACUUUCCUAACAUUUAUUUGCUUUUUUCUUUUGGCUUUUAUCUUUUAUGGUAUUCAACAUUUAUUUAUUCAUGUUCGUGUCUAUAACCGAAAAUAAAUCUAGAUAAUUUUUUCAACAACAUAAUGAUACAUAUACAUAUACAUACAUAUAUUCAUCACACUAAAGGGGAAAAUAAUUAUAAUUCUCACAUUCACUUAUUGCUAUAAAAAAAAUCUAAAAUUGGUUAACUUGUGAAUUGAACUAAUAGUUGAACUGAUUUUUAUAAUUUUUUUUUAUUUUAAUAAUUUAUUUUCUUUGAAUUGAUCAGAUUAGUUGUUCUGGGAAUUAAUUGGUCGGAUUAGUUCGGAAUUGAUUCAACUAGUUUUUUAACUCGAUUCAACUAGUUUUUUGACUCAAUUCAACUAGCUUGUACUGUUUCAUGGGUCAAUCGGUUUUUUACCUAUCACCAUAGGGGUGUGCAUAAUUCGGGUAAAACCGAAAAAAUUCGGUUAACCGACUGAAUUCGGUUAAUCGGUCGGUUAACCGAAUUUUUUCGGUCGGGGGUCAGUUAAUUUUUUUAUGAUUUUUCGGUUAACGGUUAAUUCGAUUCGAAAUCGGUCAGUUAACCGAAAAUUUUCGGUUAACCGAAAAAAUUAAUAAAUAAAAUUAUCCAACCCAGCCCAAACUCAAUUACCCAACCCAAUAAAACUAAAACUAAAGUUUACCCAAUUACCCAAUUACCCAAUUCAAUAAAACUAAAACUAAAAGACAACCCAAUUUACUAAAGUCUAAAACCCAAUUUACUUUAAUAAUUUAUAAAAUUUUUUAAAUUUUAAAAAUAAAAAAAUAAAAAAAUUCGGGUAAUUCGGGUAUUUUUCGGUAAUUCGGCUAAUUCGGGUAAUUCGGGUAAUUUUUAACCAAAAAUAAAAAAUACAUAAUUUUCGGUUAAUUCGGUUAACCGACCUUAUUAACCGAAAAAAUUUCGGUUCGGUUAAUUUUUUUUAAAAAAAUUGGUUCGGUUAACGGUUAAAAUUUUUAGAAGGUCGGUUAAUUCGGUUAUAGUAAUUUCGGGUCGGUUAACCGAAUGAACACCCCUAUAUCACCAGAUUGAUACCCCAACCGAUUUUUGGUCCAAUUAGUCGGUAUAGUCCAAUUUAAAUAAUAUUAAAUUUUGACUUUUUUAUAUUUUUAAAUUCAUUUUUAUUUUUUCAUAUUUUUAUUUUUUUUAAAAUUAUAAAUUCGUAGUUUUUUAUUUAAAAUAUAAAAAUACUUUUUAAAAUUUCUAUAUACUUUUAAAGGGUAAUGACCAAAUUAAUAAAAAAAUAUAAAUAUGAAGUUAAAAAUGUUAUUUUACAUUUUACAUCAUUAACUUUAGUGGAAAAAUUAGACGGAGGGUGCAAGAUUUUUAAAGGGUAAACUACCUAUUUAGUCACCGAGUUUACCUAUAUUAUUAUUUUGGUUACUCAUUUCAAAAUUUUGUUAUUUUGGUCCGUAUUAUUAGAUAAGUUAUCAAUUUUAGUCACUUUACCAUUAAAAUGGGUUUCAUCACCAAACAUAAUGCUGAUGUGGCUUGCUAUAAUAAUAAAAUUAGCCCUUAAUGUUUACCCAUUUAAUUAAUUUAUUCUUGAUUUUAAAAAAAUUAACCAUUAAUAUUUACACAUUAUAUAAACCCAUUCUACAAAUUAAGAAAAUAUAAAAUAAAAUUUAAAAAUAAAUAAAAAUUCAAAUAUUUUAAAAUUAAUAAAAAUAUACAAAAUACUCAAAAAAAAUUAUAAAAAAUAUAUUUAAAAAUUGUUUUUACUUCCCACCUUGUGGCUUUGAUGGUUCCCGCAGCUGUCGCUUGUGCUGCCUUCUUCGUCAACUUCUCGCAAAAUCACAAGUAAAAAGCGAAGAUGCAAAAUUUACGCAAUAAAAAGAAAUUAAAAAGAAAGAGGGAACCUUUCAUGGAGCUGCCCAAGGUUACUGCCUCUUUUUUUUCUUUAUAAUUUUUUAGUAUUUUAUAUAUUUUUGAAUUUUUAUGUUAAUUUUAUAAAUUUAAAUUUAAAUUUUCUUAAUUUUUAGAAUCAUGACCAAAUUGGAAUAUUGUGUAAAUAUUAAAGGUUAAUUUUCUUAUUUUUUUCAAAAUAAUGAUCAAAUUAAUAAAAUGGGUAAAUAUUAAGGGUUAAUUUUGUUAUUAUACCAGGUCACUUCAGCAUUCCGUUGGGUGAUCAAAUCUAUUUUAACAAUAGAGUGACUAAAAUUGACAACUUAUCAAAUGGGAAUGACUGAAAUAAUAAACUUUUGAAAUGGGUCACCAAAAUAGGAACGCGGGUAAACUCUAGCGACUAAAUAGGAAGUUUACCCAUUUUUAAAUAAAAAAAAGACUCAAAAUUAAAAUUAUAAGGACUAAAUUAUAAAUUUAAUAAGAGUAGAGGGACUUUAACAUAUUUAAACCAAAAUAAAUCACACCGACACAUAACGCCAUUUUUAUCAGAGAAAAGAGUAUCUAAAAUCUCCCCAAAUCUUCCAAAUUUCAUUUCCUAGGGUUCUCUCUCGAUUCCCUAUUUUCCAAAUUGGUAUUGUUAGGGAUUUGACGCUAAUCCGGAUCGGGUAACGAGCCGGAAGAUGAUAGACAAUUGCUUGGGAGCUCAAAGAUCUAGAAAGAUCCAGAGAACUCUCCGUCAUUGCAAGGUCACCAUCCUCUGCCUCGUCCUCACCCUCGUCGUCCUACGUGGCACUAUCGGAGCCGGUAAAUUCGGGACUCCAGGCCAGGACUUCGUCGAGAUCCGGGACCACCUCUAUUACCGGAAACAAGGCGAACCGCAUCGCGUCCUCAAAGAAGUCCAAACGACGUCGUCAGAUAACCACGACGGCGCCGACACCAACGCCGGCACCAAUAACUACAACGAGUUCGACAUCAAUAAGAUCUUAAUCGACGAGGAACCAGACGUCCCGAAACGCGAUCCCAACGCGCCCUAUUCGCUCGGGCCCGGAAUCUCCGAUUGGGACGAGCAACGCUCUAGAUGGCUG